This 252-nucleotide ribosomal RNA is filed under the name uncultured bacterium. RNAcentral describes it as "partial 16S ribosomal RNA". It matches the Rfam family "Bacterial small subunit ribosomal RNA", at positions 524 to 776 of the family's 1533-position model. The record is from RNAcentral.
UACGUAGGUGGCAAGCGUUAUCCGGAAUGAUUGGGCGUAAAGGGUGCGCAGGCGGAACCAUAAGUCUGAAGUAAAAGCCAUCGGCUCAACCGAUGUAAGCUUUGGAAGCUGUGGAUCUGGAGUGCAGGAGAGGACAGUGGAAUUCCAUGUGUAGCGGUAAAAUGCGUAGAUAUAUGGAGGAACACCAGUGGCGAAGGCGGCUGUCUGGCCUGUAACUGACGCUGAGGCACGAAAGCGUGGGGAGCAAAUAGG